This is a long non-coding RNA of Alosa sapidissima (American shad), 230 nucleotides long. RefSeq lists it as uncharacterized. The transcript has 3 exons. NCBI's taxonomy places the organism in Eukaryota, Metazoa, Chordata, Actinopteri, Clupeiformes, Clupeidae. The record is from RefSeq and is a predicted model, not a curated record.
AGACGCUGCAAUACUGACAACAACCCAAAAGGGGAGUGAGGCUCACAGUACAGAGAACCGUCAGGUCGACCAGGAUAAAAGCUGAAGUUCUCCACGUCAGGGACCCCACACCGAGGUUCUUUCAUUACCAGGAGGGUCUCUGGGCGUGAGAGUGUUCCAUGGCUGUAGUCCUCCACAUCUGACACCCCACAGCGGGGAGUCCGCAUCACCUCCAGCGUUUGGGAGUCCGG